UAAAAACUUAAUUGAGCAGCAUGGUAACAGAGGAUCCAUAGCCGACCACAACUUGCUUGGGAUAGAGUUAUAGUUGUAUAAGAGAUAUAACUGCAGCUGUCCUGACAGAUAACAUCUAAAAAGUUAUGUUGGUUCAUGAUUUUUAACAACUUCCAUCAUCUUGAAGUGAUUGUUGGAUUCGUACGGAUCUAUAGAAGCCACGUGGG
Molecule: unclassified non-coding RNA, 206 nt
Filed under: Hevea brasiliensis (rubber tree)
Lineage: Eukaryota; Viridiplantae; Streptophyta; Magnoliopsida; Malpighiales; Euphorbiaceae
Source: RNAcentral